This 403-nucleotide ribosomal RNA is filed under the name uncultured bacterium. RNAcentral's name for it is "bacterial SSU rRNA". It matches the Rfam family "Bacterial small subunit ribosomal RNA", at positions 355 to 775 of the family's 1533-position model. The record is from RNAcentral.
UGGGGAAUAUUGGACAAUGGGCGCAAGCCUGAUCCAGCCAUGCCGCGUGAGUGAUGACGGCCUUAGGGUUGUAAAGCUCUUUUACCUGGGAAGAUUAUGACGGUACCAGGAGAAUAAGCCCCGGCUAACUUCGUGCCAGCAGCCGCGGUAAUACGAAGGGGGCUAGCGUUGUUCGGAUUUACUGGGCGUAAAGGGCGCGUAGGCGGACCUGUAAGUCAGGGGUGAAAUCCCAAGGCUCAACCUUGGAACUGCCUUUGAUACUGUGGGUCUUGAGUUCGAGAGAGGUAAGUGGAACUGCGAGUGUAGAGGUGAAAUUCGUAGAUAUUCGCAAGAACACCAGUGGCGAAGGCGGCUUACUGGCUCGAAACUGACGCUGAGGCGCGAAAGCGUGGGGAGCAAACAG